AUGACAGAGCAAGAGUGCUGUACACACCUGUUCGUACAUUGUCGAUACACACAACAUUUGUGGCGAUGCUUCAAACGGUUCACAGGAGAUAACUUUAUCACGCCGGAUGCAAGUCACGGUAGCACGGAAGACUGGUGGUUGAAGGCUAGGAGCAGGGUGCCCAAGCUGGUUCGCAGAAACUUUGACACGGUCAUCAUUCUCAUCCACUGAAGGCUUUGAAAGGAAAGGAAUGCUAGGAUCUUUGACCACACCGCCAGUAGCGUCGAUAGAGUUUUGGACCAGAUUAGAGAAGAUCUUCAAGUGUGGAGGGCAGCGGGGUUUGUUGUUGAUCUUGCUAUGUAA
This 342-nucleotide ribosomal RNA is filed under the name Triticum aestivum (bread wheat). RNAcentral's name for it is "partial small subunit ribosomal RNA". The record is from RNAcentral. Lineage: Eukaryota; Viridiplantae; Streptophyta; Magnoliopsida; Poales; Poaceae.